AUGAACGCUGGCGGCGUGCCUAAUACAUGCAAGUCGAGCGAACGGACGAGAAGCUUGCUUCUCUGAUGUUAGCGGCGGACGGGUGAGUAACACGUGGAUAACCUACCUAUAAGACUGGGAUAACUUCGGGAAACCGGAGCUAAUACCGGAUAAUAUUUUGAACCGCAUGGUUCAAAAGUGAAAGACGGUCUUGCUGUCACUUAUAGAUGGAUCCGCGCUGCAUUAGCUAGUUGGUAAGGUAACGGCUUACCAAGGCAACGAUGCAUAGCCGACCUGAGAGGGUGAUCGGCCACACUGGAACUGAGACACGGUCCAGACUCCUACGGGAGGCAGCAGUAGGGAAUCUUCCGCAAUGGGCGAAAGCCUGACGGAGCAACGCCGCGUGAGUGAUGAAGGUCUUCGGAUCGUAAAACUCUGUUAUUAGGGAAGAACAUAUGUGUAAGUAACUGUGCACAUCUUGACGGUACCUAAUCAGAAAGCCACGGCUAACUACGUGCCAGCAGCCGCGGUAAUACGUAGGUGGCAAGCGUUAUCCGGAAUUAUUGGGCGUAAAGCGCGCGUAGGCGGUUUUUUAAGUCUGAUGUGAAAGCCCACGGCUCAACCGUGGAGGGUCAUUGGAAACUGGAAAACUUGAGUGCAGAAGAGGAAAGUGGAAUUCCAUGUGUAGCGGUGAAAUGCGCAGAGAUAUGGAGGAACACCAGUGGCGAAGGCGACUUUCUGGUCUGUAACUGACGCUGAUGUGCGAAAGCGUGGGGAUCAAACAGGAUUAGAUACCCUGGUAGUCCACGCCGUAAACGAUGAGUGCUAAGUGUUAGGGGGUUUCCGCCCCUUAGUGCUGCAGCUAACGCAUUAAGCACUCCGCCUGGGGAGUACGACCGCAAGGUUGAAACUCAAAGGAAUUGACGGGGACCCGCACAAGCGGUGGAGCAUGUGGUUUAAUUCGAAGCAACGCGAAGAACCUUACCAAAUCUUGACAUCCUUUGACAACUCUAGAGA
This 996-nucleotide ribosomal RNA is filed under the name Staphylococcus aureus. Its description in RNAcentral is "bacterial SSU rRNA". It matches the Rfam family "Bacterial small subunit ribosomal RNA", at positions 29 to 1006 of the family's 1533-position model. Lineage: Bacteria; Bacillati; Bacillota; Bacilli; Caryophanales; Staphylococcaceae. The record is from RNAcentral.